RNAcentral lists this unclassified non-coding RNA (363 nucleotides) under uncultured bacterium. RNAcentral describes it as "contains 16S-23S intergenic spacer region". The record is from RNAcentral.
UCCCCGUUACCGGGGCAGUCUGGCUAGAAAAAUACAACUAACCAUAAGGGUUGCGCUCGUUGAAGGACUUAACCUAACAUCUCACGACACGAGCUGACGACGGCCAUGCAACACCUGUCACUUGGUUCCAAAAGGCACUCUCGGCUUUCGCCAAAAUUCCAAGGAUUUCAAACCCUGGUGAGGUUCUUCGCUUACCAUCGAAUUAAACAACACGCUCCACCGCUUGUGCGGGUCCCCGUCAAUUCCUUUGAGUUUUAGUCUUGCGACCGUACUACUCAGGCGGGAUGCUUAACGCGUUAGCUUCGCUACAUACCGGGUCGAUACGGCAUACAGCUAGCAUCCAUAGUUUACGGCGUGGACUAC